GACGAACGCUGGCGGCGUGCUUAACACAUGCAAGUCGAACGGAAAGGCCCUGCUUUUGUGGGGUGCUCGAGUGGCGAACGGGUGAGUAACACGUGAGUAACCUGCCCUUGACUUUGGGAUAACUUCAGGAAACUGGGGCUAAUACCGGAUAGGAGCUCCUGCUGCAUGGUGGGGGUUGGAAAGUUUCGGCGGUUGGGGAUGGACUCGCGGCUUAUCAGCUUGUUGGUGGGGUAGUGGCUUACCAAGGCUUUGACGGGUAGCCGGCCUGAGAGGGGGACCGGCCACAAUGGGACUGCGAUACGGCCCAGACUCCUACGGGAGGCAGUAGGGGGGAAUAUUGCAGAAUGGGCGGGAGCCAGAUGCAGCAACGCCGCGUGCGUGAUGACGGCCUUCGGGUGGUAAACCGCUUUCGCCUGUGACGAAGCGUGAGUGACGGUAACGGGUAAAGAAGCACCGGCUAACUACGUG
This 468-nucleotide ribosomal RNA is filed under the name uncultured bacterium. Its description in RNAcentral is "partial 16S ribosomal RNA". It matches the Rfam family "Bacterial small subunit ribosomal RNA", at positions 28 to 507 of the family's 1533-position model. The record is from RNAcentral.